RNAcentral lists this ribosomal RNA (245 nucleotides) under uncultured bacterium. RNAcentral's name for it is "partial 16S ribosomal RNA". It matches the Rfam family "Bacterial small subunit ribosomal RNA", at positions 127 to 353 of the family's 1533-position model. The record is from RNAcentral.
UGCCUUCAGGAUGGGGACAACAGACGGAAACGACUGCUAAUACCGAAUAAGUUCCAAGAGCCGCAUGGCCCAUGGAAGAAAAGGUGGCCUCUACCUGUAAGCUAUCGCCUGAAGAGGGGUUUGCGUCUGAUUAGCUGGUUGGAGGGGUAACGGCCCACCAAGGCGACGAUCAGUAGCCGGUCUGAGAGGAUGAACGGCCACACUGGAACUGAGACACGGUCCAGACUCCUACGGGAGGCAGCAUG